UCCGGAGGGUGGAAGCGUUAUCCGGAAUUACUAGGUUUAAAGGGUGCUUAGGCGGCUUCAUAAGUCAGGGGUGAGAGCCUAUCGCUUAACGAUAGAAUUGCCUUUGAUACUGUAAAGUUUGAAAGGGGUUGAGGUCAGCAGAAUGUGGCAUGUAGCGGUUAAAUGCAUAGAUAUGCCAUAGAACACCGAUUGCGAAGGCAGCUGGCCGUGCCUCCUUUGACGUUGAGGCACUAAAGCGUUUGGAGCGAACAGG
RNAcentral lists this ribosomal RNA (253 nucleotides) under uncultured bacterium. Its description in RNAcentral is "partial 16S ribosomal RNA". It matches the Rfam family "Bacterial small subunit ribosomal RNA", at positions 524 to 776 of the family's 1533-position model. The record is from RNAcentral.